GUGCUCUCUUCACAGCACGUAUGCUAAAAUUGGAAUGAUACAGAGAAGAUUAGCGUGACCCCUGUGUAAGAAUGGCACGCAAAUUGGGAAGUGUUCUGUAUUUUU
Small nuclear RNA from Ailuropoda melanoleuca (giant panda), 105 nucleotides. Lineage: Eukaryota; Metazoa; Chordata; Mammalia; Carnivora; Ursidae. The record is from Ensembl.